CAGAGGGUGCGAGCGUUAAUCGGAAUUACUGGGCGUAAAGCGUGCGUAGACGGUUAUUUAAGUCGGGUGUGAAAGCCCCGGGCUCGAACCUGGGAACUUGCAUUCGAGACUGAAGUAGCUAGGGUACGGUAGAGGGAAGUGGAAUUUCCGGUGUAGCGGUGAAAUGCGUAGAUAUCGGAAGGAACAUCAGUGGCGAAAGCGACUUCCUGGACCAGUACCGACGUUCAGGCACGAAAGCGUGGGGAGCAAACAGGAUUAGAGUACCCUGGUAAGUCCACGCCAUAAACGAUGAGGACUAGACGUUGGAGGGUAAGCCUUUCAGUGUCGUAGCUAACGCGUUAAGUCCUCCGCCUGGGGAGUACGGCCGCAACGGUUCG
Molecule: ribosomal RNA, 377 nt
Filed under: uncultured organism
Description: bacterial SSU rRNA
Rfam family: Bacterial small subunit ribosomal RNA
Source: RNAcentral